GAUGAACGCUAGCGGCAGGCCUAACACAUGCAAGUCGAGGGGUAGCAGGAUUAAGCUUGCUUAAUUGCUGACGACCGGCGCACGGGUGCGUAACGCGUAUGCAACCUACCUUAUACUGGGGUAUAGCCCGGAGAAAUUCGGAUUAAUCCCCCAUAGUACUAAUGAAUCGCAUGGUUUAUUAGUUAAAGCAUUGCGGUAUAAGAUGGGCAUGCGUCCUAUUAGCUAGAUGGUGAGGUAACGGCUCACCAUGGCUACGAUAGGUAGGGGGCCUGGGAGGGUGGUCCCCCACACUGGUACUGAGACACGGACCAGACUCCUACGGGAGGCAGCAGUGAGGAAUAUUGGUCAAUGGGCGCAAGCCUGAACCAGCCAUGCCGCGCGCAGGAAGAAUGCCCUAUGGGUUGUAAACUGCUUUUAUUUGGGAAUAAACCUCUUUACGUGUAGAGAGCUGAAGGUACCAAAUGUAUAAGCACCGGCUAACUCCGUGCCAGCCGCCGCCGUAA
Molecule: ribosomal RNA, 503 nt
Filed under: uncultured bacterium
Lineage: Bacteria
Description: partial 16S ribosomal RNA
Rfam family: Bacterial small subunit ribosomal RNA
Source: RNAcentral